GACUCGAUUUUACAGACGAUCUUAUUGUAUGAGAUAUAAUAAAAUAGUUUAGAUUAAAAAUUAUUUCGAGAUCUAAACUUAAAUUUAUGUAUAUAAUGCACUUAAUUAAGAAUUAAGAUUUAAAAUUAUAAGAUCUAAAAUUAUAAAUUUAAGAUUUAAAUUUCAAUACAUAAAACAUGGGCUUCGGAUAUGGGUUGAACAAAGUAGGUUAAACUAUAGACUCGGGCU
Molecule: long non-coding RNA, 228 nt
Filed under: Elaeis guineensis (African oil palm)
Lineage: Eukaryota; Viridiplantae; Streptophyta; Magnoliopsida; Arecales; Arecaceae
Description: long non-coding RNA (EGUI_LNC027103)
Source: RNAcentral